GACGAACGCUGGCGGCGUGCUUAACACAUGCAAGUCGAACGGAAAGGCUCCUGCUUGCAGGGGUACUCGAGUGGCGAACGGGUGAGUAACACGUGGGUGAUCUGCCUUGUACUCUGGGAUAAGCUUGGGAAACUGGGUCUAAUACCGGAUAAUAACUGCCUUUAGUGUGGUGGUUGGAAAGUUUUUUCGGUGCAAGAUGAGCUCGCGGCCUAUCAGCUUGUUGGUGGGGUAAUGGCCUACCAAGGCGUCGACGGGUAGCCGGCCUGAGAGGGUGUACGGCCACAUUGGGACUGAGAUACGGCCCAGACUCCUACGGGAGGCAGCAGUGGGGAAUAUUGCACAAUGGGCGGAAGCCUGAUGCAGCGACGCCGCGUGGGGGAUGACGGCCUUCGGGUUGUAAACUCCUUUCGACAGGGACGAAGCUUUUUGUGACGGUACCUGUAUAAGAAGCACCGGCUAACUACGU
This 466-nucleotide ribosomal RNA is filed under the name uncultured bacterium. RNAcentral describes it as "partial 16S ribosomal RNA". It matches the Rfam family "Bacterial small subunit ribosomal RNA", at positions 28 to 506 of the family's 1533-position model. The record is from RNAcentral.